CAAGCCCACACCAAGUCACCUACCCUACUUCCUUUUAACAUUGGUUUUUCCCAAUCCAAAACUCCCAAAAAAAAUCCUCUUCAGACCAAAUUGUCGAGAUCUUGCAAAAAGGAGAAUAGGAAAAUGAAAAUGGUGAUGCACGCAACAUUAUUCUUUGGCAGCACGGAGAACUUGAGCCUAUAUCUACUAGAUUUGGUAAUAGUAUUUAUGAUGUCUCUAAUUGUAGAAUGUCUAUCACACACGAGAUUUAUAAGUUCACAGAGCAACAAUUGGAUUGCUGGGGUGAUUCAAGUGGGAUUGUACGGCAUUCGGAUUAGCCUAGCGUAUCUUGUGAUGUUGGCAGUCAUGAUGUCCAAUGCAACCUUUGUUGUAGCUGUUGCUGGUUACACCCUUGGAUUCCUAAUUUUUGGCAGUAGAGUUUUCGAUAAAUCAGAUAUCGAAACAUAUCAAAAACCUUCAGAUCUUCCUCCAUUAAAUUGCUAGUUGCAUUUGUGUAGCAAGAAUAUAUAAUUGGACUAGAGUCCCUUUUUUCUUCUUGUUUUAUUUUAUGACAGGUGUAUCAUUCAAGAUAUAUACAUAUAUUACCUGUAAUCCUUAAAGCCCAUUUGGCCCCAUUUUAUUUAAAAUUUUAAUGUUUGAAAUAAUAUUUUUUUGAAGAAUGCGUGAUUGAAAAAUAAUGAAAAGUUUUCUAUUUACGUGUAAUAUUAUUUUGUGUUGUGUGGUUGUAAAAAAGAGAGAUGAAAAAAAAAUGAAAGAGAAUGAGAGCCAAACGGGAAAUUUGAUUCAAGAAGGAAGAAUUUUGAAGAUGAUUUAUUGUGGAGUCAUUUGCUAGUUUAUGCUCUAUAUCAAUAACUUUU
Molecule: long non-coding RNA, 857 nt
Filed under: Olea europaea subsp. europaea
Lineage: Eukaryota; Viridiplantae; Streptophyta; Magnoliopsida; Lamiales; Oleaceae
Source: RNAcentral